GCCCGUUUGGCUCAGCGGUAGAGCGCCUCACUAGUAACACCAUAUCGUUCACGCAAUGAGGAGGCGACUGGUUCGACUCCAGUAAUGGGCA
This 91-nucleotide transfer RNA is filed under the name Xylariaceae sp. FL0016. RNAcentral describes it as "tRNA-Thr". It matches the Rfam family "tRNA". From Rfam's summary of the family: Transfer RNA (tRNA) molecules are approximately 80 nucleotides in length. Their secondary structure includes four short double-helical elements and three loops (D, anti-codon, and T loops). Further hydrogen bonds mediate the characteristic L-shaped molecular structure. tRNAs have two regions of fundamental functional importance: the anti-codon, which is responsible for specific mRNA codon recognition, and the 3' end, to which the tRNAs corresponding amino acid is attached (by aminoacyl-tRNA synthetases). tRNAs cope with the degeneracy of the genetic code in two manners: having more than one tRNA (with a specific anti-codon) for a particular amino acid; and 'wobble' base-pairing, i.e. permitting non-standard base-pairing at the 3rd anti-codon position. Lineage: Eukaryota; Fungi; Ascomycota; Sordariomycetes; Xylariales; Xylariaceae. The record is from RNAcentral.